UUGGGAAUCUUCGGCAAUGGACGAAAGUCUGACCGAGCAACGCCGCGUGAGUGAAGAAGGUUUUCGGAUCGUAAAACUCUGUUGUUAGAGAAGAACAAUGACGUUAGUAACUGAACGUCCCCUGACGGUAUCUAACCAGAAAGCCACGGCUAACUACGUGCCAGCAGCCGCGGUAAUACGUAGGUGGCAAGCGUUGUCCGGAUUUAUUGGGCGUAAAGCGAGCGCAGGCGGUUUCUUAAGUCUGAUGUGAAAGCCCCCGGCGCAACCGGGGAGGGUCAUUGGAAACUGGGAGACUUGAGUGAAGAAGAGGCGAGUGGAAGUCCAUGUGUAGCGGUGAAAUGAGUAGAUAUAUGGAGGACCACCAGUGGCGAAGGCGGCUAUCUGGUCUGUAACUGACGCUGAGGCUCGAAAGCGUGGGGAGCAAACAGG
This 429-nucleotide ribosomal RNA is filed under the name Gemmatimonadota bacterium. RNAcentral describes it as "Gemmatimonadetes bacterium partial 16S ribosomal RNA". It matches the Rfam family "Bacterial small subunit ribosomal RNA", at positions 355 to 776 of the family's 1533-position model. Lineage: Bacteria; Pseudomonadati; Gemmatimonadota. The record is from RNAcentral.